GACGAACGCUGGCGGCGUGCUUAACACAUGCAAGUCGAACGGAAAGGCCCUGCUUUUGUGGGGUGCUCGAGUGGCGAACGGGUGAGUAACACGUGAGUAACCUGCCCUUGACUUUGGGAUAACUUCAGGAAACUGGGGCUAAUACCGGAUAGGAGCUCCUGCUGCAUGGUGGGGGUUGGAAAGUUUCGGCGGUUGGGGAUGGACUCGCGGCUUAUCAGCUUGCUGGUGGGGUAGUGGCUUACCAAGGCUUUGACGGGUAGCCGGCCUGAGAGGGUGACCGGCCACUUGGGGAGUGAGAUACGGCCCAGACUCCGACGGGGGGGAGCAGGGGGUAAUAUUGCCAAAUGGGCGGAAGCCUGAUGCAGCCACGCCGCGUGGGGGAUGGGGGCCUUCGGUUUGUAAACCGCUUUCGCCUGUGACGAAGGGUGGGUGGCGGGAAUGGUUAAAGAAGCCCCGGCUAACUACUG
This 467-nucleotide ribosomal RNA is filed under the name uncultured bacterium. Its description in RNAcentral is "partial 16S ribosomal RNA". It matches the Rfam family "Bacterial small subunit ribosomal RNA", at positions 28 to 506 of the family's 1533-position model. The record is from RNAcentral.